AGAGUUUGAUCCUGGCUCAGAUUGAACGCUGGCGGCAGGCCUAACACAUGCAAGUCGAACGGUAACAGAAAGCAGCUUGCUGCUUUGCUGACGAGUGGCGGACGGGUGAGUAAUGUCUGGGAAACUGCCUGAUGGAGGGGGAUAACUACUGGAAACGGUAGCUAAUACCGCAUAAUGUCGCAAGACCAAAGAGGGGGACCUUCGGGCCUCUUGCCAUCGGAUGUGCCCAGAUGGGAUUAGCUUGUUGGUGGGGUAACGGCUCACCAAGGCGACGAUCCCUAGCUGGUCUGAGAGGAUGACCAGCCACACUGGAACUGAGACACGGUCCAGACUCCUACGGGAGGCAGCAGUGGGGAAUAUUGCACAAUGGGCGCAAGCCUGAUGCAGCCAUGCCGCGUGUAUGAAGAAGGCCUUCGGGUUGUAAAGUACUUUCAGCGGGGAGGAAGGGAGUAAAGUUAAUACCUUUGCUCAUUGACGUUACCCGCAGAAGAAGCACCGGCUAACUCCGUGCCAGCAGCCGCGGUAAUACGGAGGGAGCAAGCGUUAAUCGGAAUUACUGGGCGUAAAGCGCACGCAGGCGGUUUGUUAAGUCAGAUGUGAAAUCCCCGGGCUCAACCUGGGAACUGCAUCUGAUACUGGCAAGCUUGAGUCUCGUAGAGGGGGGUAGAAUUCCAGGUGUAGCGGUGAAAUGCGUAGAGAUCUGGAGGAAUACCGGUGGCGAAGGCGGCCCCCUGGACGAAGACUGACGCUCAGGUGCGAAAGCGUGGGGAGCAAACAGGAUUAGAUACCCUGGUAGUCCACGCCGUAAACGAUGUAGAGUUGGGAGGUUGUGCCCUUGAAGCGUGGCUUUCCGGAGCUAACGCGUUAAGUCGACCG
Molecule: ribosomal RNA, 876 nt
Filed under: uncultured bacterium
Lineage: Bacteria
Description: bacterial SSU rRNA
Rfam family: Bacterial small subunit ribosomal RNA
Source: RNAcentral